GCCCGAGUGGCGGAAUGGCAGACGCGGCGGACUCAAAAUCCGCUGUCCGGAAGGGCGUGUGGGUUCGACUCCCACCUUGGGCACCG
Molecule: transfer RNA, 86 nt
Filed under: Actinomycetota bacterium
Lineage: Bacteria; Bacillati; Actinomycetota
Description: Actinobacteria bacterium (freshwater metagenome) tRNA-Leu
Rfam family: tRNA
About the family: Transfer RNA (tRNA) molecules are approximately 80 nucleotides in length.
Source: RNAcentral